RNAcentral lists this long non-coding RNA (1145 nucleotides) under Podarcis muralis (Common wall lizard). RNAcentral describes it as "lncRNA (ENSPMRG00000002759.1)". The record is from RNAcentral. Lineage: Eukaryota; Metazoa; Chordata; Lepidosauria; Squamata; Lacertidae.
CUCGCCUUUCCUUUUUUCCAGGUUGCAUCAAGACCACUCACGGUUUGGAGUCUGCUGCUAGGGCUGAGUCUUCUUAUACCCACUCAGAGCAAGGAAGAGGAAUCACUGGGCAAUGCCACGGUGAGACCAACCCCAGAAGAUCGUGGAGAUCAGUCCCCAAACCCAGACUUUUGCGACUUCACAUUUCACAUCCCCUGGUCUGGGAGCUCUUGCACGCAGACUACCCAGGCAACCACCACACCAGCCUCUCAGGAAGAGCUGGACCAUCUCAAGAUCUUGUUGGAGGACCUUGGAGGCAACCUGAAGAGCCUUCAGGAGGCUGCAGUUCUGGAGGCCGGCCAGUCCAGGUACCAGGACAUCGUUUCCCAAGCCCUUCCUGAUGUGAGAGAGGCCAAUGGGGAGUUCCAUGAGAUUCUUGGGAAGUUCCUGCAGGAGCUGGAGGAACACAUUCAUGCAGAUGACCAUCUGCACGCAGAGGACGAGAAAAAGAAGUUAAACGAACACUUGCGGGGAAUGGACAGGAUGCUGCGUGUGACCAGUCACCUGGCCGACCAGCUGGACCAAGCAUCCCAGGACCUCCUGGUCAAGAUGACCAGCCUUUCGGAGAAACCAGCCAUCCGGGUGGAAGGAAGCGCCCUGAAGACAUCUUAGCUGCUCAUCCCGUUCUCUGUCCACAAAAGCAUUAAAAGAAAGGCCUCAGCAUUCAUUGUGCAAUCGGUUCCAGUAAUUUUAGAUUUUUUUUCAUUGUUCACGUACUUUCCUCAUCUCAUGGGGAGACUGAGUGCGUAACCUCUUGCUCGUAAAAGCCUCAUCUUUUGCAGUUCUCAUACACGCCUGCACAGUGCAGGAAAAUCCCACACUACAAGCAGUAAAGGUAAAGGUAAAGGGACCCCUGACCAUUAGGUCCAGUCAUGACCGACUCUGGGGUUGCGGCGCUCAUCUCGCUUUACUGGCCGAGGGAGCCGGCGUACAGCUUCCGGGUCAUGUGGCUAGCAUGACUAAGCCGCUUCUGGUGAAUCAGAGCAGCGCACGGAAAUGCCAUUUACCUUCCCGCUGGAGUGGUACCUAUUUAUCUACUUGCACUUUGACGUGCUUUCAAACUGCUAGGUUGGCAGGAGCAGGGACCGAGGAACGGGAGCUCACCC